RNAcentral lists this non-coding RNA (29 nucleotides) under Bombyx mori (domestic silkworm). The record is from RNAcentral. Lineage: Eukaryota; Metazoa; Arthropoda; Insecta; Lepidoptera; Bombycidae.
UCAUUUCUGUAAGAUAGCCAUGCAUUGUU